Molecule: non-coding RNA, 1224 nt
Organism: Punica granatum (pomegranate)
Lineage: Eukaryota; Viridiplantae; Streptophyta; Magnoliopsida; Myrtales; Lythraceae
Source: RefSeq, a predicted model, not a curated record
AAAUAUUAAACGAUAGUGAACCCAUCGCUAUCUAUGGAUCAGUGAUCACAUUAGAAUCUUUUCGGUGGAUCAGAGAAGAAGUGUCGAAUCUUGUCAGGAGAAUCGCUUCAAAUGCGGGAUUGAUCGAGUGUCUCUUAUAAUUGUCUUAUAGCAUUACUGCAAGGGCAGUUUCUGACAAGAAAUGCAGAAGCCAAGAGCGGUUCAUACCGAUGGCUGCAGAAGCUACAAGAUAUAUGUGCACCUGCUUUAGAUAUCGCCAAUGGGUUUCCGUCAAUUACAUGGCUUCAUGUCAUCAGCAGAGUGAAGCCUCAACUCAAGAAGAUACACCAUGAAAUUGAUGGAAUGUUGGACACGAUCAUCGAUGAGCACCGGGAGGCUAGGGGAAAUAAGACGCACCAAUUUGAAGACUGUGAGGAUCUGAUCGAUGUUCUCUCUUAAAAUUUGAGGAGCGCGACGAUAAUGGAUUUUCUUUGAGCACAAACAACAUCAAGGCAGUCAUCUUUGGAGUGAGACAUCUGCAACUACGGUUGAUUGUGCAAUGGCGGAGAUAAUGAAAAACCCGAACAUCCUAGAGAGGGUCAAGCUGAGGUGAGACAGGUUUUUCGACAAACAGGGACAAGUUGCAGGAGGAGACUUACCUCAACCGAAGUUCCUGUGUUCAGUCAUUAAGGAAACCUAAGGCUUCACCUUCUUGUUCUGCUUCUGCAAGAGUGCCAGGAAAGAUGCGAGAUCAACCGGUUCGAGAUACCCAUGAAAGCCGCAGUGAUUGCCAAUGCCUGGGCCAUAGGGAGAAAUCCGGAGUGGUGAUGGGGCGAACCAGAACAUUCGACCCUGAGAGAUUAUAUUCCUACAGAGUGUCCUAUCGACUACAACGGAGAUAACUUUGAGAAUAUACCAUUCGGGGCAGGAAGGAGGAUGUGCCCGGGAGUGAACUUCGGCCUUGCGAGCAUGGGUUUCCAACUCGCGACGCUGCUCUAUCAUUUUGAUUGGAAGCUUCCAAAUGGAAUGAAGAAUGGUUGAUUACUUGACUGCUCGAAGAAAAGAUGAUCUGUACUUAAUCCCUACCCCUUACCAUCCUUUCCCUCGGUAAGAAGUACACCCCCAUAAGCAAAGUGUUGCUAUAUCGAUCCUGCUUUAUUUUCUAAGCUCAUGGUGGUGCGACGUCUUGUGGAUACGGUUUAAUAAAAUUCUAUACGUAACAUGGUUAUCAAGUUUGCGAAUUAA